RNAcentral lists this ribosomal RNA (665 nucleotides) under uncultured bacterium. RNAcentral's name for it is "bacterial SSU rRNA". It matches the Rfam family "Bacterial small subunit ribosomal RNA", at positions 45 to 718 of the family's 1533-position model. The record is from RNAcentral.
UGCCUAAUACAUGCAAGUCGAACGAGGCCCUCUUCCUUCGGGAGGAGGUGUCCUAGUGGCGAACGGGUGAGUAACACGUUGGUGACCUACCCCGAAGAGGGGGACAACCCCGGGAAACUGGGGCUAAUACCCCAUGUGAUCCUAAGGACUAGAUGCCUAAGGAUGAAAUGGAGCAAUUCGCUUCGGGAGGGGCCUGCGGCCUAUCAGCUAGUUGGUGAGGUAAUGGCUCACCAAGGCGACGACGGGUAGGGGACCUGAGAGGGUGACCCCCCACACUGGAACUGAAACACGGACCAGACACCUACGGGUGGCAGCAGUAGGGAAUAUUGCACAAUAGGCGAAAGCCUGAUGCAGCAACGCCGCGUGCGCGAUGAAGGCCUUAGGGUUGUAAAGCGCUUUUCUGGGGGACGAGAAAGGACGGUACCCCAGGAAUAAGUCUCGGCUAACUACGUGCCAGCAGCCGCGGUAAAACGUAGGAGGCAAGCGUUAUCCGGAUUUACUGGGCGUAAAGCGCGUGCAGGCGGUUUGGUAAGUCGGACGUGAAAGCUCCCGGCUCAACUGGGAGAGGCCGUUCGAAACUACCAGGACUAGAGGGCAGCAGAGGGAAGUGGAAUUCCAGGUGUAGCGGUGAAAUGCGUAGAUAUCUGGAGGAACACCAGUGGCGA